CCCACCACCACUUCGGAGAAACGCAGCAACCAGUGGAGUCCGUUUUGGCCUCUGCCAUGGAGCCAUGACCGCAAUCGUUCGGAGGGGGGGAGAUCAAAAUGGCCCUUUUCGCUAACACCAAUCUGAAAUGUAUCCACAGAUGGAGUUUGAUAGUAGAGUGGCGUACAUGUUAUAUACUUGGAGCACAUGUGAGCGGAUGUGUCGGCGAUUAGUAACGAGUUGUACCGACGAGACAGCUUUUCUAACCCUUGAAAACUCGGCCUUGGUGACAAGUCUCGGAAGUGUUCAGUUCAGAGCUACGAGUAGUUCCAUGAACGAACUCAUUCAAACUUCACUCAAAACUUCACUCCAAAAACGAGAUCAGUUGCUCAUUGAC
RNAcentral lists this unclassified non-coding RNA (376 nucleotides) under Yarrowia lipolytica. The record is from RNAcentral. Lineage: Eukaryota; Fungi; Ascomycota; Dipodascomycetes; Dipodascales.